Molecule: long non-coding RNA, 2503 nt
Filed under: Homo sapiens (human)
Lineage: Eukaryota; Metazoa; Chordata; Mammalia; Primates; Hominidae
Description: HSALNT0333966
Source: RNAcentral
UUCGGGAGUAGCGCGGGAGGACAGGAGGCGCAGGUUGUGAGGGACGCAGGCCCUGGGGCUUCGGUCUCUGUCCUCCGAGCUCAGAGCCUCCAGGCUUCUUCCCGGCCGCGCGCUCAGCACUCACUGUCUUACGGUCCCGAAGCGCUUUAAGGUGCGCAGUCCGCAGGCCUUGCCUACUGAUCUUCCAGCCACCCCUUGAAGGAAGCAGUUGCAGAGGCAUAGAGCCGGCCAUCUCGCACAAUGUCUUCUACCAGCUGCUCAUAGUCCUCUGCAAAGUCAACCAAGACGCUGAGCACAGUGCCAAACCUAUAUAGAAACUCAUUUGGGAUAUGGAGGAGAAUAUGCCACCAGUUCUCCAAAGUGGAGGGGUGAAGCCAUGCCUCCCUUUCCCUCACCUGUGUAAACUGGGUAUGAAGACAGAGGACACCAGGAAAGAAGCCAGAGAAAGAGGAACAGUGAUGAAGGUAAGGAUGGAGAUUGGUCACAUUGGUCGGAUAGGUAACUGGGGGUUGCAGCUGGUUGCAAUGAGCAGCCAGGGAAUGUAGGAACCUGGGAAGUGGCUCUGGGUGCAGGCAGAGCUAUGGCCAUGGUGCUGAGGUUGGAGGGGCAGGGUGGGGAAAGGCAGCUGAGCCUCACCUCCUUGUGGAGCAGGGACCAUUUCUGUGGACAGGCCACAGCCCUGUCCUUCCUCCCCUCCCCCCUGUGCCUGGGCUUGCUGCCAUAUUCCCUAGCCUUUCUCCUAUUUUGGCUUAACAAAACAAAGUCUGACAACUUGGCGGGGAGGGAUCUGGGGAGAGCUGCCAGGCCACACCCUAGAUGGUGGGGGUGGGGGGCAGGGAGAACAGUAGGCUCUCACCCCCAAAUCACCACCCCUAGGUUCUAGAGCCAAGCUCACCCUGGAGCCCCCAAUUCAACACCUUGAUUCCAUCUCUAUGCUAGCUACUGCCCUCCCAAGUCCAUGGCCCUUCUCAGUUUGCCUUGGCCCAGGAGGCAUCACGUAGAUUGGUUGUCAAAUGGAGCAGCUAGAAUCUGGGCUCCUGAGGGCUUCAUCUGCCCCUCUCUUCCCAUCCUCUCUGCUGAGAUCCUGCAACCUUCUCUUCCCCUUCUGGCCAGGGCAGAGAGGCCCAGAUCCAGCUGGCUCUUGCCCAAGAGAUGCACCUGUUGGAAGAGCUAAGGUGUACUUUCCUGUGCUUUGCUCCUGUCUCUACCCUGUCUUUUGCUGUUCUCUUGACUUCUCCCCAUCCCUGUCUUCCUGCUCUUGCCACAUUCUACAUGCCAUCCUUCUGUCUGCUCCCUUACUAUCUAACCUUGUGGCUUUGCUACUCUAGCCAAGCUCUUUCCUCCAAUUCUCAGUGGGGAAGCUAAGGCCCAGAGCAUGGACAACUUUCUCAAAAUUCCCCUAAGAGCCAAAGGUAGUAUUGAGACUUUGAACCCUAACCCUAGGUAAUCUUUGUCCCUUGACCCUCUCUAUACCUAAUCAUUCUCUUGUCCCUCUGGUUGGUUCUCCCCAAAACACUUAUAGGGAAAUGAGAUGUGGUGACAAUCAGGGGCCUAGAAAAGUCAAAGGCAGCCAAAGAACUCAGAAGCUUAUGUGCAUGUCCUGUAGGCAACUCACUGUCCUGGUCUAAGUGCCACAGCUUCCCUUCCCAAAGGAGUUUCAUAAGAGGCCCUCAAGGGUGACUGGGCAGAUAUGAGGCCCUUCCCUGGAAGCUAAAAUGGUAGGAGAGGUGACCAGGGCUGGGAUUAAGGGCCCAGCAGAUAUCAGGGUUUGGAGGCCAGGGUUGGGUGUAGAAACCUAUAGCCUGGGUCCAAUGAUGGGUUAUGACUAGGUUUGGAGGCAGCUCUGCAGUAAGGAGGCUCUUCUCAGCCAAUAGGACUUAAGAGAAUUCAUCUAUUUGGUCAAUUGGUGGGUGAGGACCAGCCCAGCCUGCUUUUCUGGGCAUCAUUCCUUUUGUUUCUCUUCCUUUCCUGGUCCUUUAUGCUUCUAGUGCCUGUUUUCUGUUGUGGCUACAGGGUGAAGUAAUUUGGGAGAAGGCCCUGGGUUCAAAUUUCAAAUCCUUUUCUGCUAUGAGCUUCAGAUUUUCUGCUUGGGGAAGAGUCUGACUUGGUCCCAGUAAUUUUCCAAAAUGACAGAGACCAAAGUUGAGUUCAGUUCCUUAGAGAUUCUCUUAUCUCUGAUCCAGCUCCUGGGACAAAGGAGAUCAGUGAGGAGAGGGUGAGACUGGAGAUUGCAGGAAGAACUGGGAGAAAACAAGCCUGUAAGGGUCAGAGGCUUCCUGGGGCAUAGGGAUGCACUGUCGUCAUCAUCAAAAACAUUCUUCCCAUUACUGAGCUCCUACCAUGUGCUAAGGAUUGUACAGGGCUCUUUUCAUAUGUUGUCUUGUGGUGAUCCGCACAGCAGCCUUCAAGUGGGUUAUUACCACCCCAUUCUAUUUUAUUGUUAUUUUUUGAGAUAAGAUUGCUCGAUCUGGAGCGCAGUGACACAAUCACAGCUAACUGCAGC